RNAcentral lists this long non-coding RNA (1105 nucleotides) under Homo sapiens (human). RNAcentral's name for it is "uncharacterized CTD-2154B17.1, transcript variant 2 (CTD-2154B17.1)". The record is from RNAcentral. Lineage: Eukaryota; Metazoa; Chordata; Mammalia; Primates; Hominidae.
GAAACAGGAAGCAGCUUUUUGUGCUGCUUCAAGAGUCCUUCCUCUAAGGCCCGGGGCCUGAAGGCAGUUUACAAAGGAGGACAGCUGAGAUUCAGAGAGGUUUACUAACUUGCUGAAGAUUACACAGCUCCAAAAUGGUAGAGGAAGGACUCAACUUGAAGGCCUCAGGAUCCUAAUGUCUCAGCCUUCUGGUGAACACAAGCCCAUCAGAACAGAGCUGGGCCUUCACUAGUCUGGACGAUCAGCUGCUCAGAGCCUUGCAUACAGUGGGAGGCUGAGGAAUGUUCUUUCUAGAAGAAUGUGAUGCCUCGUGCAAAGCUGGUGCUCAAAAUAUAUGAUUAUGGAUGGAUAGGUCAACAAAGACAUAAACAGCAACAACCCUGGCUGCUCGGCCCUUUUGCUCUCGUCAUUGGCUUCUUUUUCCAGAGCAUGCAUCUUCUAAUAGAGGUGCUCCAGGCUGACUCCAUACCUCCCACUGAAUGACAAUUGUUCUAAAGGUAGACAUUCUUAUUUCAUCAUCAAGAAAAGCACUCUGUAGUGAACAAGGGCACUCACGCAAUUGGAUUCAUGGAGAGAUGUUUGUUUUUCUCCCACUUGUUUACUGUUGCUGGUGUUAGAUCAAGUCUGGCCUUUACUAUUCCAUUAAAAAAUGACCAUUUGUGAUUAGAUAUUUACAAAAAUAUAUUCAGAAUGAUAUAUUUCAGAUAUUACAUUUUUUCUAACAGUUCGUUUUAGUUUUGAAUAGAAGCCUUAAAAUACUUGGCCAGGUGCGGUGGCUCACGCCUGUAAUCCCAGCACUUUGGGAGGCCGAGGCAGGCGGAUCAUGAGGUCAGGAGAUCAAGACCAUCCUGGCUAACACGGUGAAACCCUGUCUCUACUAAAAAUACAAAAAAUUAGUCGAGCGUGAUGGCGAGUGCCUGCAGUCCCAGCUACUCGGGAGGCUGAGGCAGGAGAAUGGCAUGAACCCGGGAGGAGGAGGCUGCAGUGAGGCGAGAUCGCACCACAGCACUCCAGCCUGGGUGACACAGUGAGACUCCAUUUCAUAAAUAAAUAAAUAAAUAAAUAAUUGGAAAAGUAAGAGUUAAAAAUAAAUCAUGGAAAAUCA